AGGAUGAACGCUGGCGGCGUGCCUAACACAUGCAAGUCGAACGCUCUCCAUUCGGUAGCAAUACCGAUGAAGAGGGAGUGGCGAACGGGUGAGUACCACGUGAGCAACCUGCCCCGAAGACUGGGACAACACCGGGAAACCGGUGCUAAUACCGGAUAUCCCUAUCGGACCGCAUGAUCUGAUAAGGAAAUGGAUUCCGCUUCGGGAGGGGCUCGCGGCCUAUCAGCUAGUUGGUGAGGUAACGGCCCACCAAGGCGACGACGGGUA
This 267-nucleotide ribosomal RNA is filed under the name uncultured bacterium. Its description in RNAcentral is "partial small subunit ribosomal RNA". It matches the Rfam family "Bacterial small subunit ribosomal RNA", at positions 26 to 285 of the family's 1533-position model. The record is from RNAcentral.